This 253-nucleotide ribosomal RNA is filed under the name uncultured bacterium. RNAcentral describes it as "partial 16S ribosomal RNA". It matches the Rfam family "Bacterial small subunit ribosomal RNA", at positions 524 to 776 of the family's 1533-position model. The record is from RNAcentral.
UACGUAGGGGGCAAGCGUUGUCCGGAAUCAUUGGGCGUAAAGAGCGUGUAGGCGGCCCGAUAAGUCCGCUGUGAAAGUCCAGGGCUCAACCCUGGAAUGCCGGUGGAUACUGUCGGGCUCGAAUCCGGAAGAGGUGAGUGGAAUUCCUGGUGUAGCGGUGAAAUGCGCAGAUAUCAGGAGGAACACCGGUGGCGAAGGCGGCUUCCUGGACCGACACUGACGCUGAGGCGCGAAAGCUAGGGGAGCAAACGGG